Molecule: non-coding RNA, 23 nt
Filed under: Cricetulus griseus (Chinese hamster)
Lineage: Eukaryota; Metazoa; Chordata; Mammalia; Rodentia; Cricetidae
Source: RNAcentral
GUCAGGUGAGGGCUCGGCCCGCG